GUGCUUGCUUUGGCAGCACAUAUACUAAAACUGGAAUGAUACAGAGAAGAUUAGCAUGGUCCCUGUGCAAGGAUGGCAUGCAAAUUCAUGAAGCGUUUGAUAUUAAA
This is a small nuclear RNA of Homo sapiens (human), 107 nucleotides long. NCBI's taxonomy places the organism in Eukaryota, Metazoa, Chordata, Mammalia, Primates, Hominidae. The record is from Ensembl.